AACGAACGCUGGCGGCAGGCCUAACACAUGCAAGUCGAGCGCCCCGCAAGGGGAGCGGCGGACGGGUGAGUAACGCGUGGGAAUUUUCCUCAAGGUACGGAACAACUCAGGGAAACUUGGGCUAAUACCGUAUGAUGUCUAGCGACCAAAGAUUUAUCGCCUUGGGAUAAGCCCGCGUCAGAUUAGGUAGUUGGUGGGGUAACGGCCUACCAAGCCUGCGAUCUGUAGCUGGUCUGAGAGGACGAUCAGCCACACUGGGACUGAGACACGGCCCAGACUCCUACGGGAGGCAGCAGUGGGGAAUCUUGCGCAAUGGGCGAAAGCCUGACGCAGCCAUGCCGCGUGAAUGAUGAAGGUCUUAGGAUU
Molecule: ribosomal RNA, 366 nt
Filed under: uncultured bacterium
Lineage: Bacteria
Description: bacterial SSU rRNA
Rfam family: Bacterial small subunit ribosomal RNA
Source: RNAcentral